GUCUACGGCCAUACCACCCUGAACGCGCCCGAUCUCAUCUGAUCUCGGAAGAAAAAAGAGCCUGAACCUGCUCCAUGUGGUGACUGAGCCC
This 91-nucleotide ribosomal RNA is filed under the name Otolemur garnettii (small-eared galago). The record is from RNAcentral. Lineage: Eukaryota; Metazoa; Chordata; Mammalia; Primates; Galagidae.